This 293-nucleotide ribosomal RNA is filed under the name uncultured bacterium. RNAcentral describes it as "partial 16S ribosomal RNA". It matches the Rfam family "Bacterial small subunit ribosomal RNA", at positions 335 to 625 of the family's 1533-position model. The record is from RNAcentral.
GGCCCUACGGGACGCAGCAGUGAGGAAUAUUGGUCAAUGGCCGAGAGGCUGAACCAGCCAAGUCGCGUGAGGGAUGACGGCCCUACGGGUUGUAAACCUCUUUUGUCGGGGAGCAAGACCCGCCUCGUGCAGGCGGAGCGAGAGUACCCGAAGAAAAAGCAUCGGCUAACUCCGUGCCAGCAGCCGCGGUAAUACGGAGGAUGCGAGCGUUAUCCGGAUUUAUUGGGUUUAAAGGGUGCGUAGGCUGACUGUCAAUUCAGCGGUAAAAAUUCUGGGCUCAACCCGGUCGUGCC